GGAAGUAAAAGUCGUAACAAGGUUUCCGUAGGUGAACCUGCGGAAGGAUCAUUAACGAAUUUAAUUAUCAUCUUAUUAUGUGAACUUUUAAUCCCUUUGUGGAUUAGAAAUGCUUCGGUGCUGGGUAAAAAUUUAUAUUUUUACCAGGCGCCGGUAGAAAACUCAUUUAAACUUUAUGUCUAAACUAAAAAUUUUAAUAAAUUAAAACUUUCAACAACGGAUCUCUAGGUUCUCGCAUCGAUGAAGAACGCAGCGAAAUGCGAUACGUAUUGUGAAUUGCAGAUUUUUGUGAAUCAUCGAAUCUUUGAACGCACAUUGCACCUGGUGGUAUUCCGCCAGGUAUGCCUGUUUGAGCGUCAUUUCUCUCUCACUCCGGUGGUUUUGCUGUUUAUCAUUUUUUCGGAAAUGUACAGUGAAAAGAAAUGGCAAGGCUCUAGUUCUUACGAAAUGUUUUAGGUUCUACCAACUACAUUCUCUAAGUUCUAAUAAAGUCGGCUUGAUAAUUCUUUCAAUGUUGACCUCAAAUCAGGUAGGACUACCCGCUGAACUUAAGCAUAUCAAUAAGCGGAGGAA
Molecule: unclassified non-coding RNA, 573 nt
Filed under: Blastobotrys arbuscula
Lineage: Eukaryota; Fungi; Ascomycota; Dipodascomycetes; Dipodascales; Trichomonascaceae
Description: sequence contains 18S rRNA gene, ITS1, 5.8S rRNA gene, ITS2, 28S rRNA gene
Rfam family: 5.8S ribosomal RNA (bases 206-359)
Source: RNAcentral